GUCACUACCAAAAACCAUUUUUUCACUGAAAAUAUUUUUUCACAUCUUUAUGUGAAACCAAACAGCCCCUUAGCUUCUAUAGUAACUGUUAGAAAAUUUUGCAUACGGUAAAAUCGCACGAAAAAAGAAAUCAAACAAAUUUGAUUUUUAAAAACUCUUGAGCUAGACCUGAUCUCAAGAAUCACGCAAUUAGGAUACCUCAUAUUCUUUAAGAUUAAAGGAAAAAAGCAAGAUCCAAUCCUUACCUUUGCGCGAAUAGAUCUUUACCUCAAUUUGAUGAUCGUGAAAUUAGGUUCUCUUGAACCCGCCUACGCGUUCGGCUUUUAUAGGUAUCCACACAAAAUUGGUGAUUUGAUCGAUGUCCUCACCGGAGUGCAAACUCGCUUGCAAAGGACGUCUUCGUACUAGAAGAUGGAAGAAGAUGGAAGAGAGAAGAGAAGAAAGAUGAUGGUUAGGGUUUUCUAAAAACUCCCGUAUCUUAUAUAGAGGAAUAUAAUCCUCUUUUUAAUAAUAUAAUAACCAUUAAAGAUAAGUACAAAUCUAGAUUUAAAUUUAUCAUUUUCUUAAUUGGUUAGAUCGAUUAAAUCCUAAUUUGAUUCAACUUGAACUUUAUCUUAAUUUGAUCAUAUCAAAUUAAUAAUGCAAUAUUUACACAUAAGUCCUCUAAUAAUUUACUAACUAUUAGUAAGUCCUCUCUUGUAACAUUUAUACUUUAAUAAAACUAAUUUGUAAUAAUUACAAAUUAGUCCAAUUAUCAACAUAUUGACAAUUAGGUCCUCCGGCAAUUUAAAAAUCACGAUUUAGCUAUCCGAUCAAUCACAACCUCUUAUGUAUGUGGCCAUAUAGCUUCUAUUUUAUCUGGUAGUGAGAUGUAUUUUGGUCACUAUCAACAAUAUCACUGAAACUCAUUUUAGUGGAUCGGAACAAUUCCAACUCAGCCCAAUGAGAAUUAUCGUCCAUCUAAAUAAUUCUCAUGAGUCUCACAAUCCACCAGUGACAUCUAGCAGUAUGUGGUGGCAUUCUAGUAGAAUGGAAUACUGAACCUCUUGGUGUAGUUACCGUGUAAUACGGUCCUUCUAUCAUGAGUCUCGACUAGACGGAGGUCAUGGAAUAAAUCGUCAAACCCCAUCAUCUGUCAUAUGUUAAAUUUAUUCGAUUCGAGUUUCUAAUAUUGAAAACUCUUUUCCGGUAUUAACUCUGCCUUGACUAAGGUCUUCUAAACUUGGUCUCAGAAAUCAUAUAGGACUAACACCCCUAUCUACCAAGGGAGAUAGAUUCCAUAUAAGUGCACACCCUAUUCCUUGAAUGAAUCUAUUGCAGCCAGCAUGCACUGCAAGGACCCGAAUGGCUAGGGACCAAGUGUAGUAUGUACAGUCAAACUACAGUAACCUCAUUGUGAAUGGUCGAGGCACCGUAGGUCAAAGGACCAGUCACACUACUGCAACAUUGAGUAAGUCACUAACAAGUAAGUAGACAUCCAAGUGACUUAUCGCGUUGUAUCACGCUCGGUACCCUUGUUCUCUAACAAUCGAUCAACUACAUAUUCGCUUCAGUGUCUCCACACUGUCGACUCGAGACUCGUCUACCCAAUAAGGGAAGCGACCUAUGCACCAAUCUUACCGGAUCAAUCACCGUACCCGUGAUGAUCCAUCGAUCGGGAGCAUUUAGGAAUUAACCACUAAUGACACAUGUCUCAAAUUCUCAACUCUUGAGAACGUAUGCCAUCAUCUUAUUAAUUUAUUGGACGAUUCAUGGACACAUACAUAAUAUGAAUGGGAAUAAGAACCCAAAUUUAUUCAUAAUAUUUUAAAGUCAAAUACAAAUUUAUAUUCUAUAAAGAUUACAUGUGUCGGCCUGGUUGGCUUCUAGGGCAUACAUUUAACAGUAACCCCUCAGCCCGUGACUUUGAUCUAGUCGCCAAUUCAUUAUAAUAUAUCCAAACAACU
This 1946-nucleotide long non-coding RNA is filed under the name Ananas comosus (pineapple). Its description in RNAcentral is "long non-coding RNA (ACOM_LNC003638)". Lineage: Eukaryota; Viridiplantae; Streptophyta; Magnoliopsida; Poales; Bromeliaceae. The record is from RNAcentral.